Molecule: ribosomal RNA, 540 nt
Filed under: uncultured eukaryote
Lineage: Eukaryota
Description: SSU rRNA
Rfam family: Eukaryotic small subunit ribosomal RNA
Source: RNAcentral
UGUAUUUAUUAGAUAAAAAACCAAUGCCCUUCGGGGCUCUUUGGUGAUUCAUGAUAACUUUACGGAUCGCAUAGCCUUGCGCUGGCGACGGUUCAUUCAAAUUUCUGCCCUAUCAACUUUCGAUGGUAAGGUAUUGGCUUACCAUGGUUUCAACGGGUAACGGGGAAUUAGGGUUCGAUUCCGGAGAGGGAGCCUGAGAAACGGCUACCACAUCCAAGGAAGGCAGCAGGCGCGCAAAUUACCCAAUCCCGACACGGGGAGGUAGUGACAAUAAAUACUGAUACAGGGCUCUUUUGGGUCUUGUAAUUGGAAUGAGUACAAUUUAAACCUCUUAACGAGGAACAAUUGGAGGGCAAGUCUGGUGCCAGCAGCCGCGGUAAUUCCAGCUCCAAUAGCGUAUAUUAAAGUUGUUGCAGUUAAAAAGCUCGUAGUUGAAACUUGGGCCUGGCUGGCGGGUCCGCCUCACCGCGUGCACUCGUCCGGCCGGGCCUUCCUUCUGAAGAACCUCAUGCCCUUCACUGGGCGUGUUGGGGAACCAGG